Long non-coding RNA from Rhea pennata, 598 nucleotides. RefSeq lists it as uncharacterized. The transcript is spliced from 3 exons. NCBI's taxonomy places the organism in Eukaryota, Metazoa, Chordata, Aves, Rheiformes, Rheidae. The record is from RefSeq and is a predicted model, not a curated record.
CCCUCGCUGGCAGAGGAGGAUUAACUAUCAACUUUUAUUGGCAUUUUGCAGUCUCAGGUCCUCGCCCUGCGCUGCGCUCGGGCCCGGAGCUGCCCUUUGAUACGUGCCAGGCCGAGCAGAUGACAGCUCCGCGUCAGGUGGAGGGGAGAGGAAGGGCGCAGCCAGCUAAAUGGGCGUGCAGGGCUUCUCCCGAGCAAGGGGAUCGCCCGUUUUCCUCCCUUAAGAAGUAACGUUGUGGUGGUGCCCUGCAGAUCAACACUCCUAUCUAGCUACUGCUCUGGGUUACACUCCAGUAAACCUGAUGCCAGUUAGGGCCGCAGCCCACAGCUCUCAGCCGCUGUCUCUGGGAGGCUGCGUUGCCAGCAGCCGUCGGCGUGCGUCGUCCUGCACCUGCCAGUCGGGUUAGCAGCAGAGCCGCCAUCACGUUUGGCAAAAAAACACAGACUGCUUUUCAGACUGAAGCCGCAAUGAAGACUGAAGUCUAGCGUGCAACAAAGUGCACAGUUCAACAGAUCAUCUAUUGCAGUGAUUAUAUAGAUUGCUUUUCUCUUUUAUUUUUUAAGUAUAUACAUGUAUAUGUGUGUGUGUUCGUGUAAAU